ACGUUGGAUACUGGAGCGGGGAAGGAUUUCGUGCCAACGGCACUCGUACACGAGUUGUUCGGAUACUGAGCACAACGUUACACCGUUUUGUUAGGAAAGUGAAGGUGCGUCGGCGGCGUGCGUUUUUUUUUUGCUUUGUUUUUUUUUUUUAAAAAAAAAAAAAAAAAAGGCGCCCCCCCCUGGGCCUUUUUGAAAAGGGGGAAAA
This 205-nucleotide ribosomal RNA is filed under the name Trypanosoma caninum. RNAcentral's name for it is "partial large subunit ribosomal RNA". The record is from RNAcentral. Lineage: Eukaryota; Euglenozoa; Kinetoplastea; Trypanosomatida; Trypanosomatidae.